GGACCCUUCGGGGAGCCUAUACAGGUGUUGCAUGGCUGUCGUCAGCUCGUGUCGUGAGAUGUUCGGUUAAGUCCGCUAACGAGCGCAACCCUCGUCGUAUGUUAUAUGUGUCAUACGAGACUGCCGGUAAAAAGCCGGAGGAAGGUGAGGAUGAUGUCAAGUCAGCAUGACCUUUAUAUCCAGGGCUACACACACGCUACAAUGGUCUGUACAAUGGGUAGCCAAGCCGCGAGGCGGAGCCAAUCCUGAAAGCAGGCCUCAGUUCAGAUUGCAGUCUGCAACUCGACUGCAUGAAGCCGGAGUUGCUAGUAACCGCAGGUCAGCAAUACUGCGGUGAAUACGUUCCCGGGUCUU
This 354-nucleotide ribosomal RNA is filed under the name uncultured Anaerolineaceae bacterium. RNAcentral describes it as "bacterial SSU rRNA". It matches the Rfam family "Bacterial small subunit ribosomal RNA", at positions 1013 to 1382 of the family's 1533-position model. Lineage: Bacteria; Bacillati; Chloroflexota; Anaerolineae; Anaerolineales; Anaerolineaceae. The record is from RNAcentral.